AUUUCAAUUUUCUUUCACAAUACUAUUACACUAUAAUUAAAGUUAUUUUUUCUUUAUUAAAUACUAAAACAGAUCUCUAUAUAAUUAUUUUUAAUAAUUUAAACUUUAAAAAAUAUAAAUUAAUAAAUAAAAUAUAAUCAAUUUAUAUUGAUUUGCACAAAAAUCUUUUCAAUGUAAAUGAAAUGCUUUACUGAAUAAGCUUUAAAUUGCAUUCUAGGUACACUUUCCAGUACAUCUACUAUGUUACGACUUAUCUUACCUUAAUAGUAAGAGUGACGGGCGAUGUGUGCAUAUUUUAGAGCUAAAAUCAAAUUAUUAAUCUUUAUAAUUUUACUAUCAAAUCCACCUUCAAUAAAUAUUUCAAAUUUAUAUUCGUAUAAAUAAAUUUAUUGUAACCCAUUUCUACUUAAAUAUAAGCUACACCUUGAUCUGAUAUAUUUUCUUUUAAAAAAUUAUGAAAAUUAACAUUCUUAUAAAAUAUUCUAAUAACGACGGUAUAUAAACUGAAUACAAACUUAAGUAAGGUCCAUCGUGGAUUAUCGAUUAUAGAACAGGUUCCUCUGAAUAGACUAAAAUACCGCCAAAUUUUUUAAGUUUCAAGAACAUAACUA
Molecule: ribosomal RNA, 611 nt
Filed under: Scathophaga inquinata
Lineage: Eukaryota; Metazoa; Arthropoda; Insecta; Diptera; Scathophagidae
Description: partial 12S ribosomal RNA
Source: RNAcentral